UGGUCAUUACCAAGGCUGAUAGAAUGCAGUUUCUAAUUUGUUGUGGACAUGACCAUAAAAAAAUUUCCCACUAGGUUUUCAUUGUAUAUGCUACAUUGUUAGCAAUCAGCCUAUUGGGAACACUU
Molecule: small nucleolar RNA, 125 nt
Organism: Dipodomys ordii (Ord's kangaroo rat)
Lineage: Eukaryota; Metazoa; Chordata; Mammalia; Rodentia; Heteromyidae
Source: Ensembl